GCAGCAGGAUUUGUGUAAGCAUCAUGUAACCAAGCAAUUGAAGAUCACAUGUGAGGAUCUGCUAGAAAUGCAGGGCGGAAUGAAGGAAUUGCAAGCUUAGAUUUUAUAUUUAUUCAUCUUGGAAAGAAUCAGUAUUGCCACUGGAACGCCUUCCACCAAUCUCAAAUUUCGUGUCAAAACUGAAAUGCAGUGAAUAGUGCACAAGUGCAAAUGGUAGCGUAUUCCUUUGCAGACAGCCCAACAUAUUCAUCAAAGACACAAAAAGUUGGGUUCUACCAGCACAGAGAGGAGAAACUGGGUCACCAAGCAACACGCACACACUUCAGCUGUAUGUUAUCUCAAAUAAUUACCCUCCGCUUUUGGCUGUCCCUGCUGACUGUUGCUAAAAAAGCUACUCAUUGUCGGUGAGUGAAGAGGGAUUUGAAACCCGCCUCUGGACGCCCAAGAACAGCUCUUAAUUAACCACUCAGGUAUUGAGGAGUCUCUUCAACCCGUCUCCUAUCCAUAUGGCCAGAACAUGUCCUCCGUGGUAAUCACUGAAGAAAAUAGUGUAUCAAAAAAAGAAAAAGAAAAGAAAAAAAGAAACCAAGGGGGUGGGGGCUGUUGGAUGGUGGAGGAAGAAGGCAAGCGAGAAAGGAAAGAGGGAAUCGCACAGAAAGCAUGUGCAAAUUAUUUUUAAUGAUUCUCCUCUGGUGAGUCGGAUUAUCUGUAAUUUGAAGCAGAGUGUGCUGGUGGAGAAGGAAAGCUGACUGUUUCUGUCCUUGACCUUUCUCUCCCCUGCAUUUGCCCCUUCGCCUUGCGCACUUGACGGCAGACCUGUUUCUUAGUCUCAACAUCAAGAGACUGCCCCAGGUAGCAGAGGCAACCCUUCAGGCACUGAAAGGAAGCUUUUAGUGUCUGUGAUUUUGAUAAUUCUUUGUUUCUGGUGUGUGACUUCUUUCUAAUACAUGUUGGAUAGGUGGUUUUCCUGCAGCAGCUAUGCUUCCUCAGACACUUGAGAGAUGUGGUAGCAUUCCCUCUUUCUGAUUCCACAUAUGUGCACACUUGCACACACGCACACAUACACACACACAAUUUUGCACAGUGCAACCUACUUGCAUUUGGCAAAGGAAAAACCAGAGAAGCAUCUUGGAGUGAAAGAAUAUAAUUUAAAAAAUUUAAAGCUCUCCUUUACACUUUAUUUGUUUAUUAUUUUUAGUUUGUCUCUGCCCCCACAAAAAAAAANAUCAUAAGUGGGCCUAGUGUGUCAAAAGACAUUAUGUAUGAUUUUUCCUUUCUGACAGCAACCAUUACAUUUAAAAAUUCAUUACAGCAAGGUUAGUUAGACACGUGAUGGAUGUAGCUUUAAUCCUGCCAUAUAUUAUUACAGUUAAAAUGUAAAUGAUGAAAAAUAUUUUGUGCUUAUCAG
This 1408-nucleotide long non-coding RNA is filed under the name Salvator merianae (Argentine black and white tegu). RNAcentral's name for it is "lncRNA (ENSSMRG00000006073.1)". Lineage: Eukaryota; Metazoa; Chordata; Lepidosauria; Squamata; Teiidae. The record is from RNAcentral.